UUAUAUAUCUUCAUUGCUACAUGCGUGGUUCGCCUUGCGUGAUCUUAAUGCUUACCAUUCCACACCCAUUCACACAUUCACAACCACCCACCCCUUCAAUUCAUUCAUUCCCUCGUCCUUACUUGUUUCCUUUCCCCACCCUCUAACAUACACACAUAUACUAUUUAACCAUCAUAUAUAGACCCCUUUAUUCUUCUUUCUACAACAAGUAUAUUUUUUUUUUCAUUUUUUGUGCAUUCUCUACCAAGGGGAGUGGAAAGUGUUCUGUUGCCAAACAAAACAAAGCCACAAGUGUUUUUAGCUUUCAACGUUUAAUUUGAGCGAAUUAAUAAGCCAAAAUGGUGAUGCUGGGUUUGGGAAGGCUUGUAGUGACUCUAAAAUCCAAAAUAAGGUCUUUGAAACUGAAGAAACCUUACGAUAAGAUGGAGAAGAGUGACAGCAUGAGAGUGGAGAUAAGAAGCAGGAAGACCAGAAAGCUUAUUGAAGAGACCCUCAAAAUUGCUGAUUCACCUAAGUCCAAAACCUUCAACUUAUGAUGGUAUACAUAUGCUACCUUAUGUUUAAUUGUAUGUAUUGGUAAAACCCUUCAAUAAUAAAGGUUCUGCUCUUCAUACAUAUGUUGCUUAAAUUUCAAUGAGGUAAUUAGCUUUAUCCUUUUUAACUUUUAGGCUCUUAGCCUUUCCAUCAAUCUUAUGCACCCACCACAUACCAAGUCAGUGCUAAUUAUGUUGUGCAUAAUAUAAAUCUAGAACUUUGUUGUUAUCUUAGAUUGGUAUGAAGCAUGCAAAGACUUUGCAGAA
This is a long non-coding RNA of Glycine soja, 800 nucleotides long. RefSeq lists it as uncharacterized. The transcript is spliced from 2 exons. The record is from RefSeq and is a predicted model, not a curated record. NCBI's taxonomy places the organism in Eukaryota, Viridiplantae, Streptophyta, Magnoliopsida, Fabales, Fabaceae.